GAUGAACGCUAGCUACAGGCUUAACACAUGCAAGUCGAGGGGAAACGACAUCGAAAGCUUGCUUUUGAUGGGCGUCGACCGGCGCACGGGUGAGUAACGCGUAUCCAACCUGCCCAUCACUUGGGGAUAACCUUGCGAAAGUAAGACUAAUACCCAAUGAUAUCUCUAGAAGACAUCUGAAAGAGAUUAAAGAUUUAUCGGUGAUGGAUGGGGAUGCGUCUGAUUAGCUUGUUGGCGGGGUAACGGCCCACCAAGGCAACGAUCAGUAGGGGUUCUGAGAGGAAGGUCCCCCACAUUGGAACUGAGACACGGUCCAAACUCCUACGGGAGGCAGCAGUGAGGAAUAUUGGUCAAUGGGCGAGAGCCUGAACCAGCCAAGUAGCGUGCAGGAAGACGGCCCUAUGGGUUGUAAACUGCUUUUAUAAGGGAAUAAAGUGAGAGUCGUGACUCUUUUUGUAUGUACCUUAUGAAUAAGGACCAGCUAAUUCCGUG
Molecule: ribosomal RNA, 492 nt
Filed under: uncultured bacterium
Lineage: Bacteria
Description: partial 16S ribosomal RNA
Rfam family: Bacterial small subunit ribosomal RNA
Source: RNAcentral